GACGAACGCUGGCGGCGUGCUUAACACAUGCAAGUCGAACGGAAAGGCCCUGCUUUUGUGGGGUGCUCGAGUGGCGAACGGGUGAGUAACACGUGAGUAACCUGCCCUUGACUUUGGGAUAACUUCAGGAAACUGGGGCUAAUACCGGAUAGGAGCUCCUGCUGCAUGGUGGGGGUUGGAAAGUUUCGGCGGUUGGGGAUGGACUCGCGGGUUAUCAGCUUGUUGGUGGGGUAGUGGCUUACCAAGGCUUUGACGGAUAGCCGGCCUGAGAGGGUGACCGGCCACAAUAGGACUACGGGACGCAGCAGACUGGAACGGGAGGCAGCAGUGGGGAAUAUUACACAAUGGGCGGGCGCCUGAUGCGGAGGCCCCGCGUGCGGAAUGACGGCCUUCGGGUUGUAAACCGCUUUCGCCGGUGACGAAGCGUGAGUGACGGUACUGGGUAAAGAAGCACCGGCUAACUACGUG
RNAcentral lists this ribosomal RNA (468 nucleotides) under uncultured bacterium. Its description in RNAcentral is "partial 16S ribosomal RNA". It matches the Rfam family "Bacterial small subunit ribosomal RNA", at positions 28 to 507 of the family's 1533-position model. The record is from RNAcentral.